GCAUAUCAAUAAGCGGAGGAAAAGAAAAUAACAAUGAUUCCCUUAGUAACGGCGAGCGAAGGGGGAAUAGCUCAAAUUUUAAAUCCGUUAGGUUUUACCUAACCGAGUUGUAAUUUGAAGAAGCGUCUUCCGCGAUUUCGUUUAGCCCAAAUCCUUUGGGAUAAGGUAUCAUGGAGGGUUAGAACCCCGUCCGGCUAAAUCGAGGUUGCAUUACGAUACGCUUUCUGAGAGUCGAGUUGUUUGGGAUUGCAGCUCAAAAUGGGAGGUAAAUUUCUCCUAAGGCUAAAUACAGGCGAGAGACCGAUAGCGAACAAGUACCGUGAGGGAAAGAUGAAAAGAACUUUGAAAGGAGAGUUAAACAGUACGUGAAAUUGUUGAAAGGGAAACGAUUGAAGUCAGUCGUACCAACGGGAAAUCAACCUUUGGAGUACGAAUUUUGUGGGUCUUGAAGAGUUUCAAAACCUUCGGGUUUACAUUUUUGUGAUCUUUGGGCGUACUUUCUCGUACGGUAGGUUAACAUCGAUUUUGAACAUUAUAAAAUGACCGGAGGAAUGUAGCUUCGAUCUCGUAUUGAAGUGUUAUAGCCUUUGGUAGAUGUAAUGAUCAAGAUCGAGGAUUGCAACGAAUACCCUUUUGGGCUAUCCGUCUGAUCUCUAAUACGUUACCUUGGUAUUGAAAGCGUGCUUUCGGUAUUAGGGUGAACGGUUAAUAGGUUAGAACGUGAUUAAAUUCGUUAAGGAUGUUGACGUA
This 750-nucleotide ribosomal RNA is filed under the name uncultured Glomerales. RNAcentral describes it as "LSU rRNA". It matches the Rfam family "Eukaryotic large subunit ribosomal RNA", at positions 38 to 633 of the family's 3401-position model. Lineage: Eukaryota; Fungi; Glomeromycota; Glomeromycetes; Glomerales; Glomeraceae. The record is from RNAcentral.